This is a long non-coding RNA of Xiphophorus couchianus (Monterrey platyfish), 542 nucleotides long. RefSeq lists it as uncharacterized. The record is from RefSeq and is a predicted model, not a curated record. The transcript has 4 exons. NCBI's taxonomy places the organism in Eukaryota, Metazoa, Chordata, Actinopteri, Cyprinodontiformes, Poeciliidae.
GAGAGACUCUACCAGAUGACCUGAAUAAAAAUCAUGCUCUCUGUCUGGCCUCCUUGAACACAUUCUGAAGAGGGUGUGGCAUUGUGCUCCUGUUGGCGCAGCUGCCUUUCAGAGUUCAGGGAACAUCACCUGCACAGGAUCAUGGUGACACAUCCACAUCAGCAAGAUGUCAGAAGAAAUGCCUGAACUUCUUAAAAUGGUCGUUGCAAGAGGCAGCAGCCUAAGCAAAGAGGUCCAGACUUCCCUCUACACAGCCACUUGGUCCAGUUCCUCUGGGGGAAUCUUCCUCUGGGUUUCCUCCCAGUGGGUUGUGCCUGGAUCAUCUCACCGGAAAGGCUUCCAGCAGGCAUCCUAACCAGCCACCUCAACUGGUGCCUGUUGAUGUGGAGAAAUAGUGGCUCUAAUAUGACCAAGCUUCAGACACCCUACGGAGAAAACUUAUUUUAUCUGCUUGUAUCCAUGAUCUUGUUCUUUAGGUCACUGCCCAAAACACAAGAGAGCAGCGAUUUUACCUCUAAUUCCAGUUUUCCCUCAUUCGAGAA